Molecule: ribosomal RNA, 253 nt
Filed under: Klebsiella sp. A-Nf5
Lineage: Bacteria; Pseudomonadati; Pseudomonadota; Gammaproteobacteria; Enterobacterales; Enterobacteriaceae
Description: partial 23S ribosomal RNA
Rfam family: Bacterial large subunit ribosomal RNA
Source: RNAcentral
AGUGGACGCAUCACUGGUGUUCGGGUUGUCAUGCCAAUGGCAUUGCCCGGUAGCUAAAUGCGGAAGAGAUAAGUGCUGAAAGCAUCUAAGCACGAAACUUGCCCCGAGAUGAGUUCUCCCUGAGACUAUAAGUCUCCUGAAGGAACGUUGAAGACGACGACGUUGAUAGGCCGGGUGUGUAAGCGCAGCGAUGCGUUGAGCUAACCGGUACUAAUGAACCGUGAGGCUUAACCUUACAACGCCGAAGGUGUUU